CCCUUAGAUGUCCUGGGCCGCACGCGCGCCACACUGAGUGUCUGAGAUACGAGUCUGCCUGGUCCGGCAAGGUCUAGGUAAUCGCUAAAAGACACAUCAUGCUUGGGAUAGAUUAUUGCAAAUAUUAAUCUUGAACGAGGAAUUCCUAGUAAGCGCAAGUCAACAGCUUGCGUUGAUUACGUCCCUGCCCUUUGUACACACCGCCCGUCGCUACUACUGAUUGGAUGUUUAAGCGAGGUUCUCGAACUGCUAGCGACUUAGCUUCGGUGAGGUCGCAGUGUGGGAAGUGAACCGAGCUUUGGUGUCUAGAGGAAGUAAAAGUCGUAACA
This 329-nucleotide ribosomal RNA is filed under the name uncultured eukaryote. RNAcentral describes it as "partial 18S ribosomal RNA". It matches the Rfam family "Eukaryotic small subunit ribosomal RNA", at positions 1470 to 1796 of the family's 1831-position model. The record is from RNAcentral.